UACGUAGGAGGCGAGCGUUGUCCGGAUUUACUGGGCGUAAAGCGCGCGCAGGCGGCCCUUCAAGUAAGGUGUGAAAUCUCCCGGCUCAACUGGGAGGGUGCGCCGAAUACUGAAUGACUUGGAGUGCGGGAGAGGAAAGUGGAAUUCCUGGUGUAGCGGUGAAAUGCGUAGAUAUCAGGAGGAACACCGGUGGUGUAGACGGCUUUCUGGACCGUAACUGACGCUGAGACACGAAAGCGUGGGUAGCAAACAGG
Molecule: ribosomal RNA, 254 nt
Filed under: uncultured bacterium
Lineage: Bacteria
Description: partial 16S ribosomal RNA
Rfam family: Bacterial small subunit ribosomal RNA
Source: RNAcentral